AUUGAACGCUGGCGGCAGGCCUAACACAUGCAAGUCGAGCGGAUGAAGGGAGCUUGCUCCUGGAUUCAGCGGCGGACGGGUGAGUAAUGCCUAGGAAUCUGCCUGGUAGUGGGGGAUAACGUCCGGAAACGGGCGCUAAUACCGCAUACGUCCUGAGGGAGAAAGUGGGGGAUCUUCGGACCUCACGCUAUCAGAUGAGCCUAGGUCGGAUUAGCUAGUUGGUGGGGUAAAGGCCUACCAAGGCGACGAUCCGUAACUGGUCUGAGAGGAUGAUCAGUCACACUGGAACUGAGACACGGUCCAGACUCCUACGGGAGGCAGCAGUGGGGAAUAUUGGACAAGGGGCGAAGGCCUGAUCCAGCCAUGCCGCGGGUGUGAAGAAGGUCUUCGGAUUGUAAAGCACUUUAAGUUGGGAGGAAGGGCAGUAAGUUAAUACCUUGCUGUUUUGACGUUACCAACAGAAUAAGCACCGGCUAACUUCGUG
Molecule: ribosomal RNA, 484 nt
Filed under: uncultured bacterium
Lineage: Bacteria
Description: partial 16S ribosomal RNA
Rfam family: Bacterial small subunit ribosomal RNA
Source: RNAcentral